Molecule: long non-coding RNA, 1177 nt
Organism: Siniperca chuatsi (mandarin fish)
Lineage: Eukaryota; Metazoa; Chordata; Actinopteri; Centrarchiformes; Sinipercidae
Exons: 2
Source: RefSeq, a predicted model, not a curated record
ACAGCAGAGGGCAGCUUGAAUACAUAUAUACAAACUAGAAGGGUGCAUCUCUCAGUCAUCAAAGGCAUGCACUCGUUUACAUCCCUGGGUUCCCAGCACACCACUCAGCUCUUGUCUGACAGCCGGCUGGACCGCAGAGAGCUGGGGACUGUGAUCAGCAUCAACCCUAUCACAAUACCACACAGGGGACAUAGUGGAGGAAGUGGGGAAUAAACGAAUUGUGGAGUGACAGGUUUCAAAGAGAGUUACAGCACCUUGCUGCUGCAGAACAAACCUCAAAGACAACACUCUAUGCUGUUUUUAUUGUUAAACCUGUGUUCUGCCAUUGUCUGCCCUCCCUCCUGAGCUCCAGCUCUCUCUCUCUGCCUCUCUGCGUCUCUCUCUCUGCCCCCCCCCCUCUCUGUGGCUCAAGAUGAAUCUGCCAGCAUGUGCCCAUGCUCUUCAUCACUGUCAGGUGCCCCAUGGUGGUCCUCCUCCUCUUUCUCAAACUGGGCACCAACCGCUGGCUGGAAUUAUUCCUCACCUCCAAAACUCUCCCCACUGUUUCUAAAUAAAUGUGGCUGUAGUAACCGAGGAGUGUUGCUCAUCCAUCUUUACCGUGUGGUGUGCGGAGUGUGCAGUGUUUACUGAACUAGACAGAGAGUCUAAUAAGCCACACAGUCAGUGUAAAGACACAAAGUGUAUAAUGUAACGUAAUGUAUUAGAUUUCUGGCAUUGGUUUAGUGUUUGUUCUUCCCCUCAAUUUAAGGAAAGGAUGUUUGUCUCUCUGUCAGUGAGAGUUGUCAUUCAUAAUUGAUUAGCAUUAAUAUCACAUAGAUUCAUCCGCAUUCGCUGUCACUUUUGUAAAUUUACAUCAGUUCUUCUUCGUUGUAAUAGCUCAUUAGCAGAUGUUUGGCCAGUAACAUUAGACUUGUUAAAAGGGCCUGUUGAUAGAUAAGAGACUGUUUUUGUUUCACUUGACACAAGAAUAACUGCUGAUGUUAAAUUUGUAAUUAAGGCACAAAAGAUAGCUGCACCAUCUGUUGACAGGGUGGUGCCUGUAGUGUUUGUGAAUGUCAGAAUGUGUCUGCUAUUUGGGAUGUUGGUUGUUAGAGUUUACAAUGAAAGCGUGCUAAAGAUACACUGUAUGCCCUACCUUAAAUGUUUAAGUACACCUAUACAUGCUGCUACUACUGAA